This 253-nucleotide ribosomal RNA is filed under the name uncultured bacterium. RNAcentral describes it as "partial 16S ribosomal RNA". It matches the Rfam family "Bacterial small subunit ribosomal RNA", at positions 524 to 776 of the family's 1533-position model. The record is from RNAcentral.
UACGGAGGGUGCAAGCGUUAAUCGGAAUUACUGGGCGUAAAGCGUGCGUAGGCGGCUUGCUAAGCCAGAUGUGAAAGCCCCGGGCUCAACCUGGGAACUGCAUUUGGAACUGGCCAGCUAGAGUUUGGUAGAGGGGGGCGGAAUUUCAGGUGUAGCGGUGAAAUGCGUAGAGAUCUGAAGGAACACCAGUGGCGAAGGCGGCCCCCUGGACCAAAACUGACGCUGAGGUACGAAAGCGUGGGUAGCAAACAGG